This 420-nucleotide ribosomal RNA is filed under the name bacterium. Its description in RNAcentral is "partial 16S ribosomal RNA". It matches the Rfam family "Bacterial small subunit ribosomal RNA", at positions 355 to 776 of the family's 1533-position model. The record is from RNAcentral.
UGGGGGAUAUUGCACAAUGGGCGAAAGCCUGAUGCAGCGACGCCGCGUGGGGGAUGAAGGCUUUCGGGUUGUAAACCUCUUUCGCUAUCGAACAAGGCCCGCUUAGGGUGGGUUGAGGGUAGGUGGAGAAGAAGCGCCGGCUAACUACGUGCCAGCAGCCGCGGUAAUACGUAGGGCGCGAGCGUUGUCCGGAAUUAUUGGGCGUAAAGGGCUUGUAGGCGGCUUGUUGCGCCUGCUGUGAAAACGCGGGGCUUAACUUCGCGCGUGCAGUGGGUACGGGCAGGCUUGAGUGUGGUAGGGGUGACUGGAAUUCCAGGUGUAGCGGUGGAAUGCGGAGAUAUCUGGAGGAACACCGAUGGCGAAGGCAGGUCACUGGGCCAUUACUGACGCUGAGGAGCGAAAGCAGGGGUAGCGAACAGG